AAUAAAGUCGUAAGGAUAGGUUUGUGGCGAUUUUUGCGAUGACGAUUGCGACUGUUGAUGCAAAAUCAUUUUAAUGGAACGUCCCUGCGAUAAUUUAAGAGCAACGCAGCAUAGCAGAAAGGUGAUUGCUAGAUAGUAUACUUCAAAAUAAGAUUUCCGCUGGGAGACUGGUGCGAGUUUUGCAAUAUCUUCGGAAAAAAGAAACGAGAGCAUCACGAAUAACGAACAAAGAUAGAGCGAUAAACCCUGGGUAAACCUAUUAUCAAUGAGAAUAGUUUAGUGUAGGAGUUUUAUUGUGAUGAAGUUGUUGGUAUUUGAUUGAAGCAGUAUGCUAGAAAUUCAUUCUCCUCAAGAUUCUUGUUUUGGUAGUGAAUCUUGAAGAAUUAUUCCUGCUUCCUGUGGUGCAGAGUUUCGUGCUUCUUCUAGCAAUGUAUUAAGACCAUUGGAAUAUUUUCGAGCGAGUUAUCUGCUGGAACUAUGGUGUUAUCUAGAUGAAAAGUGGAUUUUCUCGAUAAAGUGGGCUGAGUCUAUCCCAUUUCCACUCUGGAAAAGCUCUUAUGCAAGCACAGAAGUGUUUGCACAAAAGUUUGUUGUGUCUCCAGUCUACGCAGGUGCAGUUUGGAAGCGUUUGUUCAUCACCAAAAAGUACGAUAUGGUGCUCCUUCCCUGUUGAACUUUUUACUUCAAAGACCCCUGGGGACACCAUGUGGACCAUGUCUUUGCUAAUGUCACUAUCCCAACGCUUCAUAAUAUGAGACACCAUUCUGGCAGGUCUGUUGUGCAGAAAUUUUGGAAGUUCCUCAUUAUAAGCACGAAUCCAAAGAUGACUAAAGUCUACAGUAAGUGCCGCUGUAGUUAGCCUAAUCACACCUUUCAAUAAUUUGUUAAUUAAGCAGUUGUUUUUUCAAAAGAAGGGGCCUGUGUCACACAACAAAAACCCUACGAAAUGAAUUUUUCCUUCAAAA
Long non-coding RNA from Xenia sp. Carnegie-2017, 965 nucleotides. RefSeq lists it as uncharacterized. Lineage: Eukaryota; Metazoa; Cnidaria; Anthozoa; Malacalcyonacea; Xeniidae. The record is from RefSeq and is a predicted model, not a curated record. The transcript has 4 exons.